CCUCUCUGCCCUGCUCUCUCUGCUGAUGUGGUCCCUGGGGGAAUCCCUCCAAACCACACUCCUCUCUCCAUCUGGGAAAGCCAGAGUGGGAUGAGGGCCCGUGGGCUGGGAACGGGCCGUCACCUCCGAGGGAAACUGAGGCACAGCGAGGGACACUGACCCCAGAGCCACGGGGGGCUCCAGGGCUCGUGGCCCCUGGGGUGACACAGGGAACAGAGGCUGUGCCUUCCCACGGCAAACAGGAGCACUCAGAGCAGGCAGUGUCCAGCUGGACCCACAGGCACCACGAGGCAGGAUGGCAGUGAGGAGCAGACAGUUUCCAGAUCCCACCAACCAUGUUCCACGGUUGUACCCGUUCCCUGGCUGCCCCAUCCCGCCUCUCCCUGCACCCCACCCUGCCAACCCCUCCGAGGGCAGCUGGAGGUGAGGGGUGCCCUCCCCUUCCAUCUCCUUCCCUGCAUCCCCACAGGUCAUUCCCAGAUUCCUGAUCCCCUCCAACACCCCCAUCCCCACAUAUCCAUAACCAUUUCUUCUCCUCUCGCUCCUCAGCACAGAUCCUCUCUCUCCCUGCUGCCACAGCGAUGCUCAUCCCCCUCGAGCUCCCUUUCCCUCCCUCCUAUUCCCACGGGAAGCUCGUGCCCAACCUCUGCCAGGAUAUCCCACCUUUCCAAGGCAUUUCCUUGGACAUCGGCAUCUCCCCUCUGCUCAGCCAAGCUCGAGCUCCACCAACACAUCACUCACCCCACCCUCUUUCAGUGCUGUGUCCAUCCUUCCCGGAGCUUUAUUCGUGGUUUUACCUGUCCUGCAGCUCCGUGCUGGGAGGGGAAUGGCAAAGACCAAAUCCCGACGGUGCCGCUCGCUCCGCUCUCCGUGACUGCUGGGACUGACUGCCGGCUCCCACCACCACUGCUCAUCUUUUAAUCUCCCCGAGCGAGCUGAGAAUUAAUUAUUUAGCAGCUCACAGGACACAUGGGGAACAUCCAAUCCAUGCGGAGCGGCAGCUUUGGCUCCCACCUGCCCCGGGAGAGGGCUGGGAGAGCACCGGGAGAGCUGUGGCUGCAUCCCUGCCGUGGCACACACUUCGUAUUGGAAGGUGAUUAAUGGUACAGGUGCUCUCCCCCAGGAACCAGGAGAGCUGGCUCGUGGCUCAGUCCAUCUCCAGAAGAAAGCGGUUCCUGUGGGAAGCAAAUCGGAGCCGCAGCCGGAGGGGAGGGCGGUGGGAAUGCCGGGGGUCCCUGGGGAGAGAUCCCUGCUCCGUGCCCAGUGCCAGGGGGGUGGUGAUGGGACCGACCCAACCUUGCCAGAGCCACCGGGACAGUGGUGCCAGUUCUUCUCCAAGGGGAUGGAAACAGGGAGGUGGGGGGGACAACCCUGGGGGUUUCACCCAAAGUCCCGCUGACACCCUGGGCAGCUGCUGGGGCAGGAGUGGCCAGGAGCUGUCACCCCGUGUGCACCUACAUGGCUGGGGGGACCCAUGGCGGGGACAGAGGUGGGGAUGGAGCAGACCCUGGAGCAUCCCAAACACCUUCACCAGACAUCCCAGGGCGUCCCAUCUGCUCUGGAGCAUGUCUGGAAUGGCAGCAGGAUGUGCUGCACCCCUGGCCUGGCAGAGCUGGGAAGGUGCCUGGAGAGGGUGAGGAGGGGGGACCGAGCACCCACCACCCCCUGGGUGACAGCCAGACGGGACCCUGUGGAAGCAGGGACCGAAUCCCACCGUGUCCAUGGCGGGAGAUCGCAGGCACUGGCAAGAGGCUUAACUUUAAAAAAAAAAAAAAUGGUUUAUUUAUUU
Long non-coding RNA from Empidonax traillii (willow flycatcher), 1789 nucleotides. RefSeq lists it as uncharacterized. The transcript has 2 exons. The record is from RefSeq and is a predicted model, not a curated record. Lineage: Eukaryota; Metazoa; Chordata; Aves; Passeriformes; Tyrannidae.